ACGGUAUGAUGGGGACAUUUUCGGAUGAGAUCCUUUAAUCUUUCCCAUAAUUCAUGGAACUGCUCACUAUCGUGCUGUGAAAACCUAGUGAGAGCUCGCCUUAUCU
This 106-nucleotide small nucleolar RNA is filed under the name Cephalotus follicularis. Its description in RNAcentral is "Plant small nucleolar RNA R71". It matches the Rfam family "Plant small nucleolar RNA R71". Rfam says of the family: R71 is a member of the C/D box family of snoRNAs containing the C (UGAUGA) and D (CUGA) box motifs. Multiple nearly identical copies of this snoRNA have been identified in Arabidopsis, and it is thought to function as a 2'-O-ribose methylation guide for 18S ribosomal RNA. Lineage: Eukaryota; Viridiplantae; Streptophyta; Magnoliopsida; Oxalidales; Cephalotaceae. The record is from Rfam by way of RNAcentral.